CCUCCUCCUCCUCCUCCCCCACCCCUUCCUCGCCCCCCUCCCCUCCGCCGGCAUCCUUAGACCUCUUCCUACCUCAGUCCUGUCCCCCUCACUGGGCAGCCGCUCCCUUCCGGAGACGGCGAGGGAGGAAGGCCUACCUGAGCAUAGGAGCCUGCAUUCAUAGGAACGUAUCGCGCUCCCCGCCCCCACCCCCAAUUCGGUGCUUACAUAUCCUCUUAGUGUCCCUGAGAUGAGAACCGGAAGUGGGGUUAUUUUAAGCACGCAGUCCAGCCUCUGUGGGGCAGAGCCCGUUCUGUCAAAAAACCCCAAGGAAGAGAGAGAGACUACAAUGCGAUACAUUAAGGCCUCCAUCCCAGGGGUGGUCAGGGUUAGAUACAGAGGUGCAGCCCGCGCCUUCCAAACAAGAGGUGCAGAAUCCAUUACGCGAUGCCCUUUCGGCUGCCCUCGGCUUUUGCCGCCCACCCAGAAGGGCUCGAUGCCCUCUCUGUGUUUUGCAGCUUCCGGCGUGAAUUCACCUAUUCUUGAAGUAACUGGGGGACCACCCAAUCUUGGGAGGUGAAAAGUGUGUGAGUGGGGGGGUCCGUUCUAUAAGACUUUGGGAGGGGGGCGUUAAUGCCCACUUCGGCCUCUCAGGAGACUCCUAAUCAUGAUUUCCCAGAAUCCUUCAGGUGCCUCUUUGGCAUAUGAACUCUUCAGGUAACCUGAGAGAGAACAGUUUUGGCCAGGGUAGAAUCUUGUUUCGGCCCUUGCUCUGUAGCCCAAACUGAUUUUUUCUGAAAUGGCCCAAAGCCGAAUAGUUCAAGUUAUUAUUUACCACAGAAAGAUGAAGGCAAAUGCUCCGGCCGUAUUUUUGACCCGAUUUGAGGACUCUUUACAGUUACGCUUAUAACAAAAGAGCUCUUAAAUGCUUCUGAGGGUCAAGGCCACACAUUUUUAAAUGUAGAGAAAGUGAAUGUAUUGUAGAGAUAAGGGGAGCUGAAAUAUUUUUUUAAAAACCUAUUUUUAAAAUAGUAUAUUAUAUCUUGUUCCUCCCUCAUGGGACAUAUUUCCAGCUCUUGAGAGGUAUCCUCCCCCGCUUCUCCGUCACCAAUUGGGGAGGCGGGGUGGUUUGCUUUUUGGUUCCUUAAAUCCCCAAAGUUGAGAGAAUUGUGCUAAAAUACCAAAUCACAAGUCUUGGCUUCGUAUUAGGGAGGAACCAAAAAAUUGAGUUUCUAACCUCAUGGUAGCCACAAGAAGCUGGACAAUGGACAGUGAUGAUUAUUUUUUAAAUCCCAAACCAGAAGGCAAAUUGUAUAGAGCCCAAAUGUUAUUUUUGCAAUCUGAAGCUUCUAAAGACAAUCUUAAAGGCAAGUUCCCUGAAUUUGAAGGGAACGGCUGACUUUGUUGUUAUUGAAAACUUCAAGGUGGACAACUGAACACUGAAAUCCCCGGUUUUUGAGCAAAUCUCCAUGACAGUUAAAGUGAAUUUGAUCAGGAAUCAACCUGAAAAUAUGUUGCUAGGAAAUAGCAUUUUAGGCAAUAUUUUGAUCUAAUUAUUCCACUUAAACAGGGGGGAAUGAAAACUUGAAGAGGAGGCCUCCCUCUUUCGUGUGUUUUUACAUCCUGAUCCCAAAUUUGCUUACUUAAAAGUAAGUUCCAUAAAAAUCAAUGGGUCUUACUUCAAAGUAACUGUCUACAGGAUUGAGGUUUUUGCCCGUCAACCCUUGCUUUGCAGCCUGAUCUUAUGCAUGUUUACUCAGAAGAAAGUCUCAUACUCAAUGGGUUUACUUUACUUCCUGGUCAGCAUGCCUAGGAUUGCAACCUUAGCUGCAUCAUAUGAGAGCAGCAUGGAAAGAUAACUCAUCCUUAGCUACUAUGAAGAAAUCUGGUGGGACGGGGUUGCAAAACCCCGUCACUCAGAAGUGACUAAGGGCACAAUCCUAUGCAUUUUUAGACAGAAAAAGUUCCACAGCUUCCAGCAUCCCCCAGCCAAGCAUUCUGGCUCGGGCAUCCUGGGAGUUAAUAGUGCUUUUUUCUGUCUAAAGCUGCAUAGGAUUGUCCCCUAAAAGGCGCCUGUUCAUAAAUAAAUGUUUGAGCUAUUUUUCUAUUCUGCCCAAGAGGAAGAGUUCUGUGUAACUCAAAACCUUGCAUACUCCUGCACUAGCGAAAGUUGGUGAACGAUUAAAUUGCCUUACCUCCUUUAUGUCUUUUUGAUAUAAAAGGACCACAGUAGUAUUAGUUGAUGCUCAUAGUAGGGUUGCCCCUAAUUGAUGAGGAACGGGCUCCUCUGCCUUUAAUUGUUGCCCAGAAAAGAAAAUACCACCCAGAGCGGUUUCUCCCAUGGUGGGCAAAGCGUCACUGGCUGUAAUUCUUCUAUUUAUGCAACUGUUAAAAUCAUAGGAUCACGUUCCCCAAGGGGACGCCGGGGCAGCCCUAGCUAUAAGCCCAUUCGGUGAAAAAAAUUUCCCCAGAAGUCUCCAUUUAAAAACAAAGAAAAAAAUCUGUUUUUUUUUUUCCGUUUUGAAACAAAACAAAACACACAAUUCAGAUGUUUUUGGCAUCAUUACUUUAACCACAGAACCUUUGCAGGUUUGGUAAGUUAAAGAUGGGAUUUUCACACCCAAUCCCAAACCAGGCUUAUAUCCGCGCAACUUGCUGCUUCCGCAUGCCCCCGCCCCAUGCCCCUCACUGUCCAAAGCCCGUGGAUGAGAAAAUGGAGUGUAGGAAACAGUGUAAGCUAAGCUAGUGUUUCUCACCCUUCCCUUUGGUGUGUGCGUGCGUGUGUGUUAUGUGUAUGUGAGAAGGGAUGGCCAGCUUGGCCAUCAUUGGCUGAGCAAUUCCAGUUUUCCUCAGCUGGGGCCGUACCAGCCUCCACUGCCAGUUCAUCAGCUCAGUAACGACCGGGAGAGAUAAAACCUCCUCUCCACGCUUUCCUUUCCUUCCCCUUCCCUUGCUGUGCCUUUCUUGUUCUCCGAGAUCAUGCUGACAGCUCUUAUCUCAUUCGGAGAUAAGAGCAGCUCCACAGAGGAAAAGCAGCGUUGGUGCAUCACGGGUGGAGCGCCGUCUGCAGGUCUUUGGAUCCUGCCCGAUAUCCGGGGGGGGGGAUGGGGGCGCAGAAAGUGGCAGGGGAGGACAGCUGCGUUUACAAAGUUUGACUGAGCACGGAGCUUUGCAGGUAUUUCCUUGGGCCCCUACUUCGAAUCCAGCCAGGGAGGCCUUUCUUGUACAAACGUAGCUAUGCCAGUAUCACGCCUCCCCUAGCAAGGUCUGUGGGGAGGGGAAGAGAAAGCUCUCUUGCUCUUGCUCUCUCUUUUUAUUUCCUGACAAGCCGCAUUGAGAAUUGCAGUCUGAGAGGGGCAAACGCCACCCUCGCACCACUUUUGCCUCGGUCGCCAUUCACCUGUGCCUUCUUCACCUUGACAACUUCACCAGCACCAAAAGGAAAAAAUUAAAAAAAAACACAACAACCAAGAAGUUCACCCCAACCCCUGCGAUUUCUUCUGGGUUGGUGCGAGCGACUGUCAGUGGCACGGGAGAAUGGGGCUGCAGAUUUUCCUGGCUCCCCAGUUCAGGGGUCUCCCUUGUUUUCAACGAGAAAGGGGGGGUCUGGGUGCAUCCUGUUCAACUACCUCCCCGUUUCCACCACGCUUCCUCUCCCGAUGUUUGUCCUGCUCUUGCCUUAACUUCCAAGCGGUUCGGUUUGAAAAGCCCGGAGUUUGGGGCAGGGGUUGAUGAGGGGAGGGAAAUCGGGGAGUGGGGUGGGCAGCCCGCGUAGGGCACCAAGACCUACGAACACAGACUGUUGCAAUCUCACGGCGAACCACCCUCUCGCACGCAUACGCAAAGACACAAACGCACCAAUGCCAACACAAAACACGCGCAAUCUCACAAUGACGGGUCGCCAGCCGGCUCAGGCAGCUCUUUUUCAAAAGCCGCACUUGAUAACACGCACAGAACAAUAGAAACUCCAAGCCAGGUGAAGAACACAGAUGUUGCGUCUCUCCCUUCCUCUCUCCCUCUCUCUUUUUUUUUUUUGUUUAAUUGUUAUUGUUAUUAUUAUUAUUAAUAAUUAUAAUUGUUGUUUUCAUUCCCAGCCACAGGGGGUGUCUUGCUUUCCCUUCCCCUGCCAACCCGCUGUUAAUUUUUAUUUUUAAUUUUUUAAAACAUGGUUUCGUUUCGUUUCUUUUCCAGAGACUGUGGUGAAAUGAUUAUGGUGCCCUUUCAUUAUCGUUGAUGUUGCUGUUGUUACCGUAGGGGUGUAGCUUUUUAAUUUCUCGUCUGCCCGCAAAGCCUGACGCUGUGACCACUGCCACCACCCUCCUUUGAAUUUUAACCAGUCCUGCUACUUCUUAAAAAGGGCGGGGGGUUGUGUCUCUUUCUCCCCCCACUCCUGUUCCCCAAACCGCCCCCCCCCUUCCUGUUUUUACGGGGCAACUUCUCUCGUCAGUGGCAUCUAUUGUGGCCGCCGCUAAUCCUGCCACAUCUACCUCUGGGGACGUGUCAUGCAACAUUGGCACGAGGUGCUAAACUACACACACGUUGUGGUGUUCUGUCUCUAGCGGUAGUUUCUGGGCCACACUGUGGCCAUGGUGCUCUUGCCCCCCCCCUCCCGCCCCCACACAUGCCUGCGAUGUUUGCUAGCCUAUACAGGGAUUGUGGCAGCCAGCUCUCCCACAUGUGACCUCUUACUGGUGGUUGGUAACCCAUACCAAACACCAUGGUGCUUUUUCCUCUCUCUCUCUCUCUCUCACACACACACACAGACACACACACACACAGAGCCAUGGUGAUUACGAGGCUACCCGGCCUUUUUCCAGCAGCAGUUUCAAGUCUGCUUGACAGGCAGACUAUCAACAGGUUGCCAGGCAUAGACCUGAAGAGAGCACCUGCGCUGUGCAGUGGUGGCGUUUACGGGAAAAGUCAGAGGCGCCCUUUCCGGGUCUAGAUUUGGCAACCCAAGCCAGGGCUUUUUGCUGAAUGCCGGCAGGCCGCUGUUAAGAGGCCGGGGAAUCCUGUGGAAGGGUGCGGAAGGUGGCAACACUACACAACAAAACACACGCGACUCCGUCUCCAGUGGCAGCUGCUAAGCCGCUGGAGAGGCCCCGGUGCUCCGCCCCUCCCGUUUAGCGGUGGUGGUGGCUGGGCCGCACGGAGGACGUGGCCUUCCUUCCCUCUGGUAGUGGUUGCUAGACUAUCCGUGGAUGGCGCUUGGUUGCUAGGCCGCACAAAGGCUUCUUCCCGUGGUCAACGCUGGGGUGGGAAGCCACCUUGUUUGAAGGAGAGCACGUGGCCUACAUCGCAGUGCAAAGUGUGCCCCCGCGCUGUAGAGACACAACCCUCCCUCCUCCGGCCACGCUUACACACGCACAUUGCCCCCUCCCCCCAAAUGUGUGUCAUGCCAGCCAGCACUAAAUGAUGGGAUCCGUGGCUUUCAAACUGCCUUCUGAGGUAUCUCCUCGCCAGGGACUGAACUCCUUGGUGGAUUCAGUACUGGUGGGUGGAAGACACGCCGCCCGCCACUACUGACCACCUAGACGAGACACACGUGUCAGAGUAUUCUGGGCCUGUUCUGUAUCACACUGAGUUCACCUUGGGUGAUACUGGGGGGAAUCCGACAGAAACCCUGCUUAGAACAGACCCACUGAAGUGGACUUGAAUUAGUCAGGACUAACUGAAGUCAAUUUCAGUGGGUUUACUUUAAAUAGGACUUAAGGUCGGUUUUAUGCAAUGAGGCCGAAUGGCCCGGUGAGAGCCAUGCGUGAAGCGGGUGUGCGCCUUGGAACAUGGACCUAGGAUCUUUGGCAAUGUGAGGAUUCCCUGAAGGCAAUUUCUUUGAGGGGGGAAACCCACUGGGAUAAGUCGAGACUUUGCCCUUACAGAUCUGAAAAUGGAGGCCUACUGUGCCCCGAAGUGAAUUCCAGGACUGAGACUGUCAGUAGCUUCUAGGUUACUCUUAAAUUAAGAGUAGGUUCUGUGGGCCGUUUUGGAAAACUGUCAGUUGGACCCAGGUUGCUACAUGCUUUUCCUGAGGACCUACAAGAAAUACCUUCAGUGAGUUUUUCUGAUAGGAUCCUAGUUGCAGCAUUGGGGACUGCAGAAAUAAACCGCAACUAACUUGGGUCUGUCAAUAGAAUGGGAACAAUAUUCAAAGCUGGAGAUCAAGACGGAGGAGCCAAAAUCGCUCUGGAAGUUAUAUAGGCAUGAAUAGAUGUGUGCCCAAAGAGUCAAACUCGAAAGCCUUGAUGCCCUCCAGAAGUGUUGGACUGCAACUCCCAGCACCCCAGCUAUGAUAGCUGGGAAUGCUGGGAAUUGCAGUCCAACAGGUCUCAAGAGCACCAGAUUGGGAAAGGCUGGUAUAACUGGUACUGUUGUCAGCAGAGUAAAUCCAGAGCGACAUCUAGUAAGAUCAGAUUGAUGUAAAUGUGGCAUGGUCUACUCUUCCUAUCCCAGAGAAUUGGCUUGAUUUAGGAGUAACUGUGAGGCUGCGGUUCUUUUGUAGUUCGUUAAGGUGGACACGACUCAACUGGGAGAUGGCACCCAAAUGUCCAAGAGGAGGCUGCUGUUUGUUUGAACAGACGUCUUCCACCUGCCUGUUUCUCCUACCUUUUGACGGUAAGUAGGACUCCCCGUGAGAAAGACACCUGGGCAUCUGCAUAGCAACCACUUUGGAAUGGGGGACGCGGCUUCCAUAGGGAGCCUCUCUGCCCUGUUGCUCUUGAACGAUUGGAAAGUGGUGAAUCUGCAAUUCUUUGGCCAUGAUAUUCCAGGUUAAGCUCCACUUGGCCGGUAGGUCCACACCAUCUUCAAAGGGCCAUCAAAUCAGUGCUCGGACUAUCGCUAGAAGGGCUCGCUGGCUAUGACACGGGGGUGGGUGGGAAGGGCUCCUUCAAAGGGGAGCAGGUUGCUGGAGGCUCCAGUGUCUUUAAAGGCUUUAGGGAAUCUGUUUAUAUAUAAUUUUUAUAUAUAUUGUUUCCUCUACCCUCGUGUAUGGUUAAUUUUUCCUCUCUGUGGCAGGAUCAGAUAUGGCUCCUGCCGCGUCUGUAUCUAUCGCUGUUGUGAAACAUAAAAUGCGUCUGGUAACAUA
This is a long non-coding RNA of Elgaria multicarinata webbii, 7063 nucleotides long. RefSeq lists it as uncharacterized. The transcript has 2 exons. The record is from RefSeq and is a predicted model, not a curated record. Lineage: Eukaryota; Metazoa; Chordata; Lepidosauria; Squamata; Anguidae.